UACGUAGGGGGCAAGCGUUAUCCGGAAUUAUUGGGCGUAAAGAGUGCGUAGGUGGUUACUUAAGCGCGGGGUUUAAGGCAAUGGCUCAACCAUUGUUCGCCCUGCGAACUGGGUUACUUGAGUGCAGGAGAGGAAAGCGGAAUUCCUAGUGUAGCGGUGAAAUGCGUAGAUAUUAGGAGGAACACCAGUGGCGAAGGCGGCUUUCUGGACUGUUACUGACACUGAGGCACGAAAGUGUGGGGAGCAAUCAGG
This 252-nucleotide ribosomal RNA is filed under the name uncultured bacterium. RNAcentral describes it as "partial 16S ribosomal RNA". It matches the Rfam family "Bacterial small subunit ribosomal RNA", at positions 524 to 776 of the family's 1533-position model. The record is from RNAcentral.